This is a long non-coding RNA of Helianthus annuus (common sunflower), 619 nucleotides long. RefSeq lists it as uncharacterized. The transcript is spliced from 4 exons. The record is from RefSeq and is a predicted model, not a curated record. Lineage: Eukaryota; Viridiplantae; Streptophyta; Magnoliopsida; Asterales; Asteraceae.
GAGAGGUUGGCGACGAUGGUGGUGAAUCUUCUCCACUAUUCAUCACCGCCACUAUCAUCGGCCCACACUGUCACCACGACCAUCACCCAAUCCCCAGCGCACCUCCCCCACCAACCCCAAUAACACCACUUAAAACCCCCAAAUUGUCACACAUCUUCGAUUCAAGAAGCAAAAACUCAUCUCCUAUGGGCUCCAAGCAACCUAGCUUCGGUGACGGUGCAAGCCGUAGGAAGAUUUUAAUCGGUGGUUUAGCAAAGAUACUACCAUAGGUACAUUGUUAACUAUUUUACAAAGUAUGGAGACCUGACAGAUUUGGUUAUCAUGAAAGAUCAGUAAACUGGUCGUCUGAGGUGCUUCGGGUUUAUUACGUAUGCGGAUCCUUCGGUUGUUCACAUUGCUUUGAGGAGUAUCAAAAUAAUGGAAUUAUAUUAUCAAAAUAAUGUUCAUCAGCUUACUCGAAGGUUAGCCCCCUCUGCUAGCCUUGAUGGAAGCGAAAGAAAUCAGGCAAGUGAAAGUGAAGUUGACUAUAGCUUUUUGGCAAGCGAUCUAAACAAAGAAGCAUAGCCCAGUAAUGACUAUCAAUUUACUAAGAGAAGAAAGAUCGGAUUGUAGGCUAGGU